GAUCGUGAAAAAGUAUCGAAAGUCACGAUGCGCGUCGAAACCGCAAAGAAACGAUCAAACAUAUUUUCUAGAUUUGCGGAAAAAGAAACGUAGAUGGGAGGAGGGAGGGAGGGAGGGCUCGUCGUCAACGAACGUGAAAGUGUUUAAUCGUGAAAAAUCAUCGUGACAUUUGUAACGAUUCGUAAUCGAAGAGAGAACAAAAUAAAACCGAACAAAUUAAACAAAAGAAAGAAAGAAAGAAAGAAAGAAAGAAAAUUCAAGAGUGAGAGAGUGAGCAACAUUUUACCGAAGUUAACAGGCACAGACGAUGCUUCGUUUUUUAAAUCAAUCGACACAAAAUUCACGUAAAAUAUACAUGAGAGAAACACGGAAAAUCAAUAAUAAGAAUCGUUCGAAAAAAGAAACAACAAGAUGUGUUAUACACAUACAUGUUAAUACGAUAUAGAAAUAUGAUAGGACAGGACGUAGACGGAAUCGUAACGGUACAAGCACACACACAUCGUGUUUUCUCGUUGUUAACUGGCAUGUAUCUUAUUGUUAUCUUAGAACGACCUCUUAAUAACUCUAGCGUCUAUCAUUUUCUUAUUUGUGGCGCGUGUGGCCGCACGCGCCGAGGAUUUACAAAGAUGACGAUAACGGAGAAAUGAAAGAGAAACAAAAUAUAAUAAAGUAGAAAGAGAGACAUCAAGUGAAAGAGAGACAGAGCGAGUAGAACAAGAUAUGGGUGGAUGGAUGGACGGAUGGAUGGAUGGAUGGAUAAAUAGAUAGUUGAAGAUUAAGAUACAGUGAGAAAGUCAAGUUACCUACCUUAAUAGUGUACAUAAUCUCUUUCGGUUACACUGACACCGGUCGGGGAGCUUGCGAUGCAGAUGGGUUGGUACUUGUGCUUCUUCGUUAGAUGCUUCGGCUCUUUAUAUACGCGACCGUACCAACGUGGUACAGUGAAAGGGGUCAUCCCUGCCCUCUUCACAAUGCACUCCUUCUGACCAGUGCAUCUUCGGAAAAAUGCAUCGGGAUAUAUCGAGUACUCCGAGAGCUUUUUCGCAUUGCCACGUGACACAAACUCGAGAAAGAGAGAGAGAGAGAGACAAAGAAAGAGGAAAAAAAGGAAGGUUCCGUGUGCGGUUUUACAUUCUACAAAAAUUACGACGAAAUAAAUGGUUUGGUCGUUCGACGAAUUAGAGAAGGAUUAUUAUUCGCAGCUAAAUGAAAUUUUAAUAUAUUUUAUGGAUUAUAUACAGUUCCAAAUACGAAAACGAGGAAGUAUCUUUUAUUAUUCUCGUGAUGAGAAAAGCGUUAAAAUACACGUUGAUUUGAAUAACAUGAUUCGUAUGUAACGAAACAAUGUAUGAAAUAGACAAAUUGUGUUUUACAAUUAGAAAAAUAUUUGUUUUAGAAAAAAUGAAUUAAUAGAUUUAUACGUAAUAAUAAAUAUUUGUAACACAAUGGACACUAAUGGUAAGUCAAAAAAAUAUUCGACAUAUUUAUUCGAUAAUUUAUUUCACAAUAUUACAAUUACCAGGACAAAUAUGUAUGGAAAAGAAAAAAUAGAUAAAUAAGAGAAAAACGUAAAAUAGUUUAUGUUAAAUUGCUUCUGAGUUACGUAACUGUGCAAAGAAAGAUAGCAAUCUCAGUAAUUUGGAAAUUUCGCGAAGUUUACAUCCGAAAAUAUAACGCCUUGCCAAAUAAAGAGAUAAGGCUUUUAUAAAUUAUUAUAAUGAAGUGGCCAAUAAACCGAUGGCAUGACUUUCAGGAA
This 1756-nucleotide long non-coding RNA is filed under the name Polistes fuscatus (common paper wasp). RNAcentral describes it as "uncharacterized LOC122520169". Lineage: Eukaryota; Metazoa; Arthropoda; Insecta; Hymenoptera; Vespidae. The record is from RNAcentral.